GGGCUAGUACUCAAGUUGGUGAAGAGGCCUCCCUGCUAAGGAGGUAGCGCGGAGUGAUCUGCGGCGGGGGUUCGAGUCCCUUCUAGCCCGCCA
This 93-nucleotide transfer RNA is filed under the name Mycoplasmataceae bacterium. Its description in RNAcentral is "tRNA-Ser". It matches the Rfam family "tRNA". From Rfam's summary of the family: Transfer RNA (tRNA) molecules are approximately 80 nucleotides in length. Their secondary structure includes four short double-helical elements and three loops (D, anti-codon, and T loops). Further hydrogen bonds mediate the characteristic L-shaped molecular structure. tRNAs have two regions of fundamental functional importance: the anti-codon, which is responsible for specific mRNA codon recognition, and the 3' end, to which the tRNAs corresponding amino acid is attached (by aminoacyl-tRNA synthetases). tRNAs cope with the degeneracy of the genetic code in two manners: having more than one tRNA (with a specific anti-codon) for a particular amino acid; and 'wobble' base-pairing, i.e. permitting non-standard base-pairing at the 3rd anti-codon position. The record is from RNAcentral. Lineage: Bacteria; Bacillati; Mycoplasmatota; Mollicutes; Mycoplasmatales; Mycoplasmataceae.